CAAUAGCGUAUAUUAAAGUUGUUGCAGUUAAAAAGCUCGUAGUUGGAUUUCUGGUGUAAAUUGAUUGGCCCGCCACCUAGUGGUUGUAGCGCCGACUCAAUUUCACCAUCUUUCCGGUUAAGCUUUCAGGCGUUAAUUCACCUGCUAGUGGAUCCGGAUCUUUUACUUUGAAAAAAUUAGAGUGUUCAAAGCAAGCGUUUGCUUCUGAAUAUAUUAGCAUGGAAUAAUAAUAUAGGACUUCGGUUUUAUAUUGUUGGUUCAAGAACUGAAGUAAUGAUUGAUAGGGAUAGUUGGGGGUGCUAGUAUUCAGCGGCCAGAGGUGAAAUUCUAAGAUUCGCUGAAGACUAACUUAUGCGAAAGCAUUCACCAAGGAUGUCUUCUUUAA
This 385-nucleotide ribosomal RNA is filed under the name uncultured eukaryote. RNAcentral's name for it is "partial 18S ribosomal RNA". It matches the Rfam family "Eukaryotic small subunit ribosomal RNA", at positions 592 to 976 of the family's 1831-position model. The record is from RNAcentral.